GGGGCUGACUUGGUUUCGACGGGAAUAUUAGAGCGUAGAUGGCAAGUCGAAGGUUCACGUUACGAACAAAAAGCAAUAAAUGCAAACAAAUUAAAAAAUGCAGUAGCUAAUAUGUUUGGGGGAUCUCAAACAUUAGCUUUUGCCUAGUAUAAAGGUCUGCGCUUUCUUUUAUUCUUUACCUAGGGAAUAAUUGAAGGUUUAUUAUUAUAGGUUAUAUCUAUUUUUUGUCUAGAAAAUAGAAAGAAUUUAUUAGACUAGUAUAUUAUCUUGGUCGUUAAUUACUGGGGUAGUAUAUGAAAUAUAAUUAGUUAACUAAGCUUGUAGAAGUUUACGUAGCUAUAUUUUCGGACAGGAGUUCGAUUCUCCUCAGCUCCACCA
Molecule: transfer-messenger RNA, 378 nt
Filed under: Bacilli
Lineage: Bacteria; Bacillati; Bacillota
Also listed under: 1 other name
Description: UMGS995 sp900547465 Standard tmRNA
Rfam family: transfer-messenger RNA
About the family: Bacterial tmRNA, also known as 10Sa RNA or SsrA, is named for its dual tRNA and mRNA-like properties. Its role is to liberate the mRNA from a stalled ribosome.
Source: RNAcentral